This 75-nucleotide transfer RNA is filed under the name Candidatus Terrybacteria bacterium RIFCSPHIGHO2_01_FULL_48_17. Its description in RNAcentral is "tRNA-Thr". It matches the Rfam family "tRNA". From Rfam's summary of the family: Transfer RNA (tRNA) molecules are approximately 80 nucleotides in length. Their secondary structure includes four short double-helical elements and three loops (D, anti-codon, and T loops). Further hydrogen bonds mediate the characteristic L-shaped molecular structure. tRNAs have two regions of fundamental functional importance: the anti-codon, which is responsible for specific mRNA codon recognition, and the 3' end, to which the tRNAs corresponding amino acid is attached (by aminoacyl-tRNA synthetases). tRNAs cope with the degeneracy of the genetic code in two manners: having more than one tRNA (with a specific anti-codon) for a particular amino acid; and 'wobble' base-pairing, i.e. permitting non-standard base-pairing at the 3rd anti-codon position. RNAcentral also lists the same sequence under 1 other name. The record is from RNAcentral. Lineage: Bacteria; Candidatus Terryibacteriota.
GCCAGCGUAGCUCAGCGGCAGAGCAACUCCAUGGUAAGGAGUAGGUCGUGGGUUCAAUUCCCACCGCUGGCUCAA